Long non-coding RNA from Rhagoletis zephyria (snowberry fruit fly), 7437 nucleotides. RefSeq lists it as uncharacterized. NCBI's taxonomy places the organism in Eukaryota, Metazoa, Arthropoda, Insecta, Diptera, Tephritidae. The record is from RefSeq and is a predicted model, not a curated record.
UGACGGCCGAGCCAUAAAUUAUUUAAAUAAAGAGUCUUAAAAAAAAGACAGCAAUAAAGCUAAGUUCAUCACAAUUAUUUGUUUAAGAGGAAAAGAAGCGCAUGAACGCGGCCUCAAUCAGGCGAUAUUUAAAGGAUAAUUCCAAUCCUCUAGAGCAGAGGUGGGCAGCUUCGGCAGAGCAUUUUUGUAGUGUGCGUGCAAUUGAUGUCACUGUGUGCAUGCGAACAAGUCGUGUGAAGCUUUCGCUGUCUUCCCAAGCAGAGCAUGUAUACGCGAAUUCGCCACGCAGUCGCCCCCGGACAGACGCUGCCCAGCUGUGCUCUAGAGCUACCGCGUACACUGUAAGCAAAAGUUAAUGCUUUCAAAGUUUUUCUUUUAUUAUCGUUUUGUGUUCAUUUUCAAAGCAAAUUGAGGACUUCCAAAUAAAACUGUAAUAUAAUUGGUUAAUAAACAGAUGAACCACUUCGUUCAACUUCAAUACCUCCGCUCAUAAAAGCUUGCGCACCUCUUCGAUUUUUUCGCAGAAGGAAGUGCCACCGCAAAGACUUCAAUUUGGAAGACCUGGUGUGUCGGUAGUUUUAAAAGAGGUGCUUCAGUUGAUAAAGGAAAAUAUUUGCAAUCUGUUGUAAAUUCUUUGUUAAUUUGGUAGUUAGCAGGCGGAUUACCGCGGAUUCAAUUUCGCGUUAAUAAAAUACGUGUUUCUUUUUAUUUCGCCCAAAAGGAAGUGCCCGCCAUCUUCCUCCUUUUCUCUUUAUUAAUUUUCUUUACAGGGUUGCAUUACAUAAUUUACUUAGACUAGUAGGAACAGGGUUGCAUUGCCGACUCCGAAAAUUAACUAAAUGAAAUUAUUUUAUACAAUGUUACAACUCGGCCAAACCUGACACAUGAUCGGCCUCGAUCAGAAUAAAAUCACUCAACUAAUCGCUAAUGGGUCCUGAUCUGUAUUCUCAACGCACACUUCCGGUAGCUGCCGCCACGUUCUCAUUCGAUGGGCCUCGAUCAUACCGUCAUAGGGAAGUUGCGUAAGCUGGCAAUUAUUUAUGUCGCGGACGACGUACCUAUCAUUCCCUAGAACCUUAUGCAAUACGUACGGUCCCUUGUAUUGAGGCACGAAUUUUUUGUUACUUCCUGUAGAAGUGUCGACAUUUCUCACGACUACAAAGUCUCCUACGUCAUAUGCCUUACUUUGGCGGUUACUCUUCGCGCGGAAUCGUACUCUUAUCUUGCAGUGAUCGAGUCGGAUGCGUCCUUACGUAGGCGGUCCAAGUCUCGUCCUUCGUCCGGGCAUAGUUUUUCCUGGAAGUAUUCCGUAAAUUCGUUAAAUAUCACCCCUCGUCGGCUCGGGGUAUCACGGCAAGUACUUUGCACCGAAUUAUUAAUAGCGUAUUCGACUUCAAGUAAUUUUUUAACCCAGUCAUCAUGGUUAAUAGGGUCCGUCAACUUCCCCAACAUGGAUUUUAGUAUCCUAUUCACUCUCUCCACCUGUCCAUUGGCCUGUGGGGAUGCCACGGCAACCUUCACAUGCCCUACAUUUCGUCUCAAUAAAAAUGAACUUAACUCUGAGAGAAGUGAAACAAGUGCCUCUAUCGCUGAUGAUUCGUCUCGGCCUACUAUAAUAGCGCUAAAAUACUUGUCGAGGGCCGCCGUGACUUCUCGAGUACUAGUUGAGUUAGCUGGACAAAGCUUGACAUAUUUAGUGAAUGCGUCAACAACAACUGAAAUAUGCUUACGCUUUCACGCAUUGACGGCAGUGGUCCAAAGUGAUCUACGUGGAUAGUGUCAAACGGCAAAGGGGUUUUUGGGAUAACGUGAAGAGUUCUUUCUUUUGCAUGAGGCGGAGUGGCGUACAUUAUGCACUUCAGGCAAUUCCUAACGUACUUUUCUACUUUCGGUCGCAUGUUUGGAAACCAGUAAUAUAGCUUCAGCUUACUAAGGGUCUUCUCCACUGAUAAGUGACCCAUCCUCUUGUGAAUUACCUGUAUCACGUUGUGCUCCAUUUCGUUGGGUACAUACAGAGCUAUCUUACCGUCAUGCUUCUUCUUGUAUAUCAAUCCGUUUACCAAGAUAAUAUUUUUAUCCCGCUCUGGGCAACCUGUACUUGGAACUCCACGUCAUCCGUGUUUACAAUUAGCGCUAUCUGCCUCCUACUGAGGGCAUCAACAUGACCCAUUGAAGCCCCUUUUCUAUGUUUUAUUUUAUAAUUAUAAUUUUCGAGCUCAAGAGCCCACCUAGCUAUCCGGGGGUUCAGUUGUUUUCUUUCGAGUGUCAUCGUCAAUGAGUUACAGUCGGUUAUUAUGGUGAAGCGUAUGCCUUCUAGAUAUGUCCUAAACCUCCUAAGUGCAUAUAUAAUGGACAAUGCCUCCAGUUCAAAACUAUGAUAUUUCGACUCGGCACUUGAGGCAGUUUUGGAGAAGUACGAGACGGGGUGGAACUUACUAUCGUUUUGGGUUGCAGCAAUACUGCACCGAAAACUACACUACUGGCGUCACAAUGGAGUUCCGUCUCCCGAAGUGGGUUGAAUAUAGCCAGCACGGGGCUUUUAACAAGGCGGGACUUAAGUUCGGUGAAUGCAUCAAGGCAUUUCUCGUCAAAGUCAAAUGGUGAGUUUCUUUUAAGCAAGUUUUGUAAUGGUUUUGCAAUUUGCGAAAAGGACGGUACAAAUCUGCGGAAAUAUGAGAACAUGCCAAGGCAGGAUUGUAGUUGCUUUGCAUUCGGUGGAAUCGGGAAAUUUUGUAUGCUAUGGGUAAUAUACCUGAAUGUGACACCACAUAUCCUAAAUAAUUGAUUUCAUCAUACCCAAACCUGCAUUUAUCUAAGUUAAGUUCCAAAGCUCUAAAGGUAAGUCUCUCUAAUACUAAUUUUAGCAGGUCUUUGUGUUCAUCAAAUUUUUCGGUCGCAACGAUGAUGUCAUCCAUGUAAAUGAUGACUUUUCUGCUAUCGAACAUUUCCCGGAAGAUGUUGUUAAUGAAACGCUGAAAUACAGCGGGAGCGUUCUUCAGUCCGAACGGCAUCUUCAAAUAUUCAUAUUGACCAUUAGGGGUCACGAAGGCGGUAAGGGGAAUUGAUUCAGGUGCCAUCUGAACUUGGUGAAAACCACUUUUUAAGUCUAAUACGGAAAAGAAACGUUUGUUUUCCAGAUAUUCUAUGCAGUCAUCGAUUAGCGGCAGAGGAUAAUUAUCCCUAACAGUCAAUAUGUUUAAUGCUCGGUAAUCUACACACAUUCGGACCUUUCCGUUCUUCUUUUUAACCAGCACUAUUGCUGACGCAUGAGGUGAAUCGCUCGGCCUUAUUAUUCCAUCUCGGCAGAGUUCAUUAAUGAUAGUUUGUACUUGGUUUCUCUCAGCGUAAGAAAGUCGUCGGGGCGCGCAAUGGAAAGGUACGUCAGUCGUCAAGAGUAUCUUCAUUUCGUAUUUAAAUGGUUCGGGUGCCACUUCCGGUUCAAGAGAUGUGUUAACGAUAAGUCGCUCCAAGUCAUUCCUUUGAUUACUGGUCAGUCUAGUGUCUAUGUCUAUGUCGUUUCCACCGUGGGGAACGUCAAUGCAAAAUAUUUCAGGUACGUCAGCGGCGGCAGGUACGUCAAUGGCAGCAGGUACGUCGUCAGGCUUAUUACGGCAAUAGAUGGUAACCUCGCGUAUCGUUACGUCUUGAUCUUUAACGUAUUUUAAUUCAUCUGAUGACGGCCGAGUGUGCGUUGGGAUCAGUUACAAACUUCUCAGACUUAUACAAGCUAUGAUCGUUAACAUUUCUUAUUUCAAGCAUUUUUUUCUUAGUGUACCUAUCGGUUGCGCUAGUCAGACAAACGUUAAACAUAUUGAGGAAAUCACAUCCCUAAAUAACUGGCAAAUUAAUGCUUUUGUCUUCAAUAACAUUUAAUUCAAUUUCUUUUUUUUUCGUUCAAGAAUUCAAUAUUACAUUUAAUUUUAUGAAGUAUUUAAAUUUUGCUUCCACCGAUUCCUUUAUAACUGGGGCUUCUAUUAACCAUAUGUUUUUUCCCUAGUUGUUUUGGGACCAGUGAUGCCUUUACAAAGCUAAUCGGACUGCCAGUAUCGAAAAGAGAGGGUACCUUAUAAGUAAUUGGAACCGCAAGUGUCUUAAAAGCUAUACUCACAGAGUUAAAAGCGCCGAUUGCACCCAGUUGGUCGUCUUCAUCCUCGGCAACAGUGGCUACUUCGCGCCUUUUCAGGAGUUUUGCUGGAUUUGGGCAUGAGCGAUGGUCGUGGCCCAUCUUCCAGUACCUGAAGUAGGAACCAUCCGGUCUUAGUGGGAACGGGCAGUUUGGUUUUAUGUACCCGUUCCGGGAGCAGUUGAAACGCUUCAGCUUCGUAUCGUCGGUUUGUUUUGGCGCCGUUAUCUGCCGCUGGUUAGAUGGCUGCACCGCCCUGGUCACGAAAUAUUUGUGUUGGUACCGGUUUAUAAGGGUUUUUAAUUCCUCUACGCUUCGUGCCGUGAUCAGGAUGUGGGCAUGCGGGGUAGUGUUCCCGAUGCCGUCUAUUAAGAAGUCUAUCAACUCCGUAUCGGCGAUAUUGGCACGCUUCGCAAUGGCCUGCAUCGUUAGCGUGUAGCAGUGGAGCGUCUCCUCUUUCCUCUUCCAGCGGCGCUGCGCCAGCAUUUUGUAUACUUCUCGCCUUGUAAUUCCCACGUCGAAUUCGCCUGAUGGCGCCGUUUUUAGCGCCAGGUAAUUUAAGGCGCCCGUGGUCGAUAAAAAUACCCGCGCUGUACCUGUUAGAGACCGGCGCAGGGCAAGCAAGCGAAAAUUGUCGUCAGCACCUGAGGACUCCAUUAUUUCCUCAAAAUCGCGCAGAAAAUGGCGAACGGGACAGGUUACGUCGUCGCCAUUAAAUUUAGGCAGAGCCUGCUCAAUAUCGCCGAAUUCCAGGCGACCUUGUCGUCUACUAUUAGGAGGGCGCUCCAGUUCUUCUGUCUGCGUAGCGUCAGUAUUCUUAAGGGUCGUCACUUCUGCGUCUAGUUCAGUGAGUACGGACCUGGCUAUUUCGGUGGCAUUCUCUGAUACCAGAGCCGCAGUGUUAUUGGCGAUAGAGAUGGCGGUAUCGGCAGUGGAAUAGGCGGUAUUAGCGGUGGUGGUGGCGGCGGAAUAAGCGGUGGCGGCAGCGGCGGUAGUGAAGGCAGCGGUGGCGGCGGCGGUUUAGGCGGUAGUGAUGGCAGCGGUAGUGGCGGUGGUGUAGGCGGUAGUGAUGGCAGCGGUGACGGCAAUGUCGGCGAUGGUGCCGGCGGUGUUGGUUGAGGCAGUAAAUGCGGCAUCAACGGUAUCGGCAAGGGUAGUGGUGUUCCUAUUAUCACCCACGAGAAGUUUACGUGGCUGUUGUGUCGUGGCUGAGGGUGGGAACGCCACACCAGCUUGUUGUAAGGCCUUAGUUAUAUCCUCACGUGGGUUGGCCAUUUUCCAUGAUUAUUGGCAACUAUUGAUGAUAUUCGAUGAUCGGGGUAAUAUCCCAAUACCUGAGCUGUAAAUUCCUUGUUGAUUUGGUUGUUAGCAGGCGGAUUACCGCGGAUUCAAUUUCGCGUUAAUAAAAUACGUGUGUCUCUUUAUUUCGCCCAAAAGGAAGUGCCCGCCAUCUUCCUCUUUUUCUCUUUAUUCAUUUUCUUUACAGGGUUGCAUUACAUAAUUUACUUAGCCCUUUACGGCGCAAGUUCUUUUUUUUUUUUUUUGAAAAACCUGUUUCAAACGAUUUUAAAUACUAUUUAUAGAAAGGAAAUGAUAACAAAAAUUUAAUUUGAUUUUUUUUAAUAUUUUAUUCAAUAAAAUAAGUAUGUUGCAGAUAUGCAACAUUGCGCUUUAUUUCAGAAAAUUCAAUGAAUAUGAAAUUGCUUGAAGCAAUUGUUACUUUUGUUAUAGCAUAAGCCCACGCCACAUUUUUCGCAAAUUGUUUGCGUGUAUCCUUUGCAGUUUGGUAGCUUGCACCUUAUUUUUUUUUCUGCCCAAGCAGGCCAAUGUCCUAGCUGAUCUUGCCGAACAUCUUUCGGCGGAAUGUAUUGACAAGGACCUUUUUUCUUUUUUUCUUCUAUUUGGCUUUGUAGGGUACUUUUCCUUUUUAGCGUUCCCUGCUUUUCUGUUUUUCUUGGAUUUAUCAUAUCUAUGCACCGAAGAUACUGCGACUUUUCCCGCGAAGUUGGAUGCUAAUGUGGCCACUUUGUUGUCCCUCUAUGAAACAACGGAGAUGUCCGUUCCAUUGAUGUCACCCACCUGUUCGACAGAUGUCCCGCGGUACUCUUUCUUGGAAAUCUUUUCCUCCGGUAACUUGCAAUUGGGUAUGCGAUUUCUUCUAAUGUUUCCCAAGCUCAGUAUUCCUCGUUUUGCCAAGUAUUCAGUCAACGGCAAGGACGUGUAGUAAGUAUUAAAGAAAAUGCGGUAGUUCUCAUUGGAAGGCACACUUCUUGAAAGUCGAACAACCACAUUGACAGACGCACCUAGGUCGGGUUCAUCGUCAGCGACAAUAUUUUCUUGGCCACUGUAUACCUCAAAUUUGUGACAAAGCCACUCACACCAGACAUGACGAAUAAUUUAUAGCCCCACUUAUGCGGUUUAUCGGGAAGGUACUACUUCAGGUGGUGACGUGCCUUUGUAGAACAUAUUUGCUUGUCAAUUGAUAACUGCGCCUCUAACGGAAUUUUUCCAAAACUUGAGUUCAGCAUGUCUAACAGUGGCGUUAUUUUGAAUAAUCGGUCAAAAUCAAGGUGAUCCUUAUUUAACAUAUUGCUGUUUUCGUUCAGGUGUAACAUUUGGCGAUUUUGUGCAAAUAUUUUUUGAGACAAAAUCUCUUUUACAGGAGCGUAGCCGAACUUCUCUGACCAAUACAUACCGGCAUUCGGCAUUUCUACGAUGGACAUGUAGUAGAGAAUACCAAUAAAUUGCCUUAUUUCGAUAUUUGUAGUGUUUAAGGGCUUAUUUAAAUUUUUUCUGUGCUGUAUAUGUUAGACUGAUCUCUAAUGUAGUCCACUAUUUCAUCUGGGAACAGUUAUUGGAACACUUGGAAAGGUGUAUCCAGUCCCAAAAUGUCAUUCGACAAGUUUGUACUGCCACGGAAAUAAAUUUGCUCGGAACUUAAAUUAAGAGCUUUGGUCUUCCAUUUCACACUCAGCUGCAAAAAAUAGAACCCAAAUUCUUAAAAAACUAACUACUAAUUUCUGUAGCUAAUAUUUACUUUCUCAGGUUUACAUUUCUUGGUACCGCCCUUUGCUGUUGAGCUGAUGCCCGUUAUAACAGAGAUAUCAUUACCAUUACCACUAAAUUCUUCUUCAACUGACAACGGAAGUGCACUUAUUUCUGGAGGAAUAACAUCGUCGUCGUCUGAAAAAUCCAUUCCAUUCUCACUUUCGCAACCCAGAUCCUCUAAAAUUCGUUCUAUUUCAACGUCUGUAAGGGACGCCAUUUUCAGUUGCUAAUCGAUGUGAUAAGCGCAGAUCUGCAACAAAUCAAAA